Molecule: non-coding RNA, 73 nt
Organism: Bos taurus (domestic cattle)
Lineage: Eukaryota; Metazoa; Chordata; Mammalia; Artiodactyla; Bovidae
Source: Rfam
UCCCUGCUGGUCCAGUGGUUAAGACUCUGAGCUUCCACUGCAAGAGGCACGGGUUCCAUCCCUGUUCAGGGAA